This 1209-nucleotide long non-coding RNA is filed under the name Sus scrofa (pig). Its description in RNAcentral is "lncRNA (ENSSSCG00035050823.1, ENSSSCG00055019238.1, ENSSSCG00070024194.1)". The record is from RNAcentral. Lineage: Eukaryota; Metazoa; Chordata; Mammalia; Artiodactyla; Suidae.
AAAAAAGUAGUCUGAAAAUGGCAUUUAACAUGCUUAUUCUUGUAUGGGCUAUAAAUAAUUAAAGGACUGAGGACUAUGCUUUAAAUAAAAGAUAUAUGCCAGUGUAGACCUCAUCAAAGAGGGAGAAAAAUCCUCCUAGAUACUUUUCCGAGCACUUUCCUGCUGCUCUUUUGCUUUCAUUUGCUUAAAGAAGCUAGUUGUUAGUGUUCUCAAUGUCUGAAGUUUAUUACAGGGGAAGUUCUACAUCUUUACAUAGCAGGGGUUCUCAGCUUGAGAAUUUCCUCGGCUGUAUGCAAGGCAUUUGGCUUGUUAAACACUGGGAGAACUAAGAAGCUCUGAGAACAAGCUUUCCAGAUGUGAAAAACAAGCCACACAAAUGUGAUUCAAGAACAAUAGUUCAGAAUUGGAAGAGGAUGGAGAUUUGGAUACAGCUCAAGGUCAAGCAAGAGAGCACCCACUGGCUAUUUACAUUUCCACAAGAAAACAACAGACAACUUAUCGCUACCUAUAAAUAUAGUGAAGGACAUCUGAAAUGACUAGAAAUCAGGUAAUCAAUCUGCCUUGCUGGCACAAAUUUAGUGAGCAAAUUCUCACGGAGGGUGCUGUCUCUGCAGGAUUUUAUAUGUUCUUCUCACUGUCUGGCUGAAUUACACUCCUAUACAUGAAGUAAAUCUCCCUUUAAAUGCACAACAAAAACAGAAUGAUUUAGAAUUUUGAGUAAAAGUGCAACAUUUACCAUACCAAGUAUUGUAGGUGAAUGGAAUGAAUUCAUUUUAUUUUAUUUUUAUAUAUCAUGCACACUUUGUCCAGAUAUCCCAAUGAUAACAUUUGGGGGUAGGGUAAGGAAUUCCACAAACAUUUUAUUUAUGUGAAUUUAUUUUAAAUGUUAUUUAAAAUUUAAUUUUUUGUAUUAAGACACUUGGAGAUUCACAUGCAAUUUUUUUUAGUUUUCCUUAAUGGUAACAUUUUACAAAACUGUAAUAUAACAUCAUAAUCAGUAUGUUGACAUUGAUAUAAUUCAUUAAUAUUAUUCAGAUGGCCAGUUUUACCCAUAUUCAUUUGUAUAUCUCUGUGUGUGUUUGUGUGUAUUCAUUUCUAUAUUAAGUUGAGGUUCAUUUAUCUACCACUACAGUCAAGAUAUUGAAUAGUUUCAAAAUCAGAAGGAUCCCUCUUGCCUUUUUGGAACCACACCCAGCUCUCUUCUGCUUU